UCCUCGUUAGUAUAGUGGUAAGAAUCCCCGCUUGUCACGCGCGAGACCGGGGUUCGAUUCCCCGACGGGGGG
This 72-nucleotide transfer RNA is filed under the name Xiphophorus maculatus (southern platyfish). It matches the Rfam family "tRNA". Rfam says of the family: Transfer RNA (tRNA) molecules are approximately 80 nucleotides in length. Their secondary structure includes four short double-helical elements and three loops (D, anti-codon, and T loops). The record is from Rfam by way of RNAcentral. Lineage: Eukaryota; Metazoa; Chordata; Actinopteri; Cyprinodontiformes; Poeciliidae.